AGUCUACCAGACAACAGACACAGCGAGUUCCCAGCCCCCUUAAUACAGCAGGAGCAGGUUGCAUUUCAACCUACACUUUAGUCCCUUAGAGUGGUCCAGGCGUACCCCCUACCUCCCCCCUCUCUGCCUCUGUCCCUCAUGUGCACCCCUUAAACCCCGCCCUCAGUUAAAGCCCCUCUCUCUCCUCCACCCCAUUCUGCCAAGAGAAAGGGCAGCGAGAAGCGACAAGGACGAAGUGUGACUAAGUGCAGCAAGGUUAGUCUGUUGGUGCAUAGAGCCUUAUUUAUAUCACCCUGGCCAAGUCUGUUUUUCUCAAGCCUUCACAGACACGGAUAAAGACAAUCCUUCUCCCUUUUCCUCCUUCCCAGAUCCGACAGGACAGAGGACAAGACAGUGGAUUCUUUCUACCCCAAGGAAGAACGUACAGGUUGUACAAAAACAGUAAGAAAAAAAAAACAGUAACACACAGUAAGUACUGGACCAGAUUAAUUGAUCACGUCCUCCUCCCUGGGGUCACCGGGAUUUCUUUAAAAACUCAGCCGUUAGCCUAAAUUCAAAAUUCACAAUAUUAAUCUAUUGUCUUUUCUUCCAAGACAUUUGUGAUUUGGAUCUGAGUAUAGUUAAAAGGCACACGUGUUAGAUGCCCAUCACUGACUUGUAUUGUGAUGUGUGGGAUCUGAGCCAGACUCA
Xenopus laevis (African clawed frog) is the source of this 690-nucleotide long non-coding RNA. RefSeq lists it as uncharacterized. The record is from RefSeq and is a predicted model, not a curated record. NCBI's taxonomy places the organism in Eukaryota, Metazoa, Chordata, Amphibia, Anura, Pipidae. The transcript has 4 exons.